GGAGGUUUAGCUCAGUGGCUUAAGCACCUGCCUUGCACGCAGGCAGUCCUGAGUUCAAUCCCUGGUACCUAUA
Transfer RNA from Cavia porcellus (domestic guinea pig), 73 nucleotides. It matches the Rfam family "tRNA". From Rfam's summary of the family: Transfer RNA (tRNA) molecules are approximately 80 nucleotides in length. Lineage: Eukaryota; Metazoa; Chordata; Mammalia; Rodentia; Caviidae. The record is from Rfam.